GUAACUUAGUGGAAAAGUACUUGCCUUGCAUGCAUGAGGCCCUAGGUUCCAUUCCCAGC
Molecule: transfer RNA, 59 nt
Filed under: Heterocephalus glaber (naked mole-rat)
Lineage: Eukaryota; Metazoa; Chordata; Mammalia; Rodentia; Bathyergidae
Rfam family: tRNA
About the family: Transfer RNA (tRNA) molecules are approximately 80 nucleotides in length. Their secondary structure includes four short double-helical elements and three loops (D, anti-codon, and T loops).
Source: Rfam by way of RNAcentral